Molecule: ribosomal RNA, 250 nt
Filed under: uncultured bacterium
Lineage: Bacteria
Description: partial 16S ribosomal RNA
Rfam family: Bacterial small subunit ribosomal RNA
Source: RNAcentral
UACAGAGGUCCCAAGCGUUGUUCGGAUUUACUGGGCGUAAAGGGUGCGUAGGAGGCCGGGAAAGUCGGGUGUGAAAUCCUGUCGCUCAACGACAGAAUGGCAUUCGAUACUGCUCGGCUAGAGGACCGGAGAGGAGAACGGAAUUCCUGGUGUAGCGGUGAAAUGCGUAGAUAUCAGGAGGAACACCGAUAGCGAAGGCAGUUCUCUGGAAGGUUCCUGACUCUGAGGCACGAAGGCCAGGGGAGCAAAC